RNAcentral lists this ribosomal RNA (102 nucleotides) under Cutaneotrichosporon dermatis. RNAcentral describes it as "partial 26S ribosomal RNA". The record is from RNAcentral. Lineage: Eukaryota; Fungi; Basidiomycota; Tremellomycetes; Trichosporonales; Trichosporonaceae.
AGUCCUAUGGCCGUAGAUACUAGUAUACAGUUUAAUGGCUUAUAAACCUCACGGCUGCCAGGCCGGCAGCUUGCAAUGCAGCACAAUCAAGUGCUGCACUUC